Molecule: transfer RNA, 76 nt
Filed under: Gammaproteobacteria bacterium
Lineage: Bacteria; Pseudomonadati; Pseudomonadota; Gammaproteobacteria
Description: tRNA-Met
Rfam family: tRNA
About the family: Transfer RNA (tRNA) molecules are approximately 80 nucleotides in length. Their secondary structure includes four short double-helical elements and three loops (D, anti-codon, and T loops). Further hydrogen bonds mediate the characteristic L-shaped molecular structure. tRNAs have two regions of fundamental functional importance: the anti-codon, which is responsible for specific mRNA codon recognition, and the 3' end, to which the tRNAs corresponding amino acid is attached (by aminoacyl-tRNA synthetases). tRNAs cope with the degeneracy of the genetic code in two manners: having more than one tRNA (with a specific anti-codon) for a particular amino acid; and 'wobble' base-pairing, i.e. permitting non-standard base-pairing at the 3rd anti-codon position.
Source: RNAcentral
UGCGGGGUGGAGCAGUUGGCAGCUCGUCGGGCUCAUAACCCGAAGGUCGUAGGUUCGAGUCCUACCCCCGCUACCA